RNAcentral lists this long non-coding RNA (1196 nucleotides) under Phasianus colchicus (ring-necked pheasant). Its description in RNAcentral is "lncRNA (ENSPCLG00000013784.1)". The record is from RNAcentral. Lineage: Eukaryota; Metazoa; Chordata; Aves; Galliformes; Phasianidae.
GAGAUCUGCCCCAUAGAUCUGCCCCAUAGAUCUGCCCCAUAGCGCUGCCCCAUAGAUCUGCCCCAUAGCAGCACUGACAGAGAUCUGCCCCAUAGCUCUGCCCCAUAGAUCUGCCCCAUAGCCCUGCCCCAUAGCUCCCCCAUAGCCCUGCCCCAUAGCUGCCCCUUAGCUGCCCCAUAGCCCUGCCCCAUAGCUCCCCCAUAGCCCUGCCCCAUAGCUGCCCCAUAGCUCUCCCCGUAGCUGCCCCAUAGCUGCCCCAUAGCCCUGCCCCAUAGCUGCCCCAUAGCCCUGCCCCAUAGCUGCCCCAUAGCUGCCCCAUAGCGCUGUCCCCAAAGGCAGGAGCGCGCCUGGAGCCUGGAGGGGCUGCAGCUGCGGAUUCAGAGCCGAAACUUCGUGCGGUAUGGGGCCGGGGGGCUGGGGGGCAGGGAUGGGCGCUUGGGGGGCAGGGAUGGGCACUUAUGGGGCAGGGAUGUGCACUUAUGGGGCAGAGAUGGGCACUUAUGAGGCAGCACUGUCACUUAUGGGGCAGGGACGGGCACUUGGGGAGCACUUAUGGGGCAAGGGCUGUCACUUAUGGGGCAGGGACGGGCACUUAUGGGGCAGAGAUGGGCACUUAUGGGGCAGCACUGUCACUUAUGGAGCAGUGCUGUCACUUAUGGGGCCGGGAUGGGCACUUGGGGAGCACUUAUGGGGCAGCGCUGUCAGUUAUGGGGCAGAGACGUGUUGACGUGGUGCCACGCCGUCCCCCCCCCACCCAAGGGACCCUCCGACGCCCCCCUGCGCCCUGCUGCACCCAUGGACACUUAUGGGGCAGUGCUGUCACUUAUGGGGCAGGGAUGGCACUUAUGGGGCACUUAUGGGGCAGGGAUGGCACUUAUGGGGCAGCGCUGUCACUUAUGGGGCAGGGAUGGCACUUGGGGGGCACUUAUGGGGCAGAGACGUGGGUGCCACGCCGUUCUCCCCCCCCCCACCCAAGGGACCCUCCGACGCCCCCCUGCGCCCUGCUGCACCCCACGGCCGCCCCCCCCGCUCCGCUGCCGCCGCCCCCCGGCGCUGCCGCCGCUGUGGGUCUGGGGGCGGAGCUGCGCGCCGUCCCGGCGGCCGCUUUGGCUCCGUGUCUGCGGCCCCUCCCCAACCUCCCCGCGCGCCUCCACUCCGUCGCCAUAUCCACGCACCCCUGGGUGCUGCGGGGGGGG